UAAGCGACUAAGCGUACACGGUGGAUGCCCUGGCAGUCAGAGGCGAUGAAGGACGUGCUAAUCUGCGAUAAGCGUCGGUAAGGUGAUAUGAACCGUUAUAACCGGCGAUUUCCGAAUGGGGAAACCCAGUGUGUUUCGACACACUAUCAUUAACUGAAUCCAUAGGUUAAUGAGGCGAACCGGGGGAACUGAAACAUCUAAGUACCCCGAGGAAAAGAAAUCAACCGAGAUUCCCCCAGUAGCGGCGAGCGAACGGGGAGCAGCCCAGAGCCUGAAUCAGUGUGUGUGUUAGUGGAAGCGUCUGGAAAGGCGCGCGAUACAGGGUGACAGCCCCGUACACAAAAAUGCACAUGCUGUGAGCUCGAUGAGUAGGGCGGGACACGUGGUAUCCUGUCUGAAUAUGGGGGGACCAUCCUCCAAGGCUAAAUACUCCUGACUGACCGAUAGUGAACCAGUACCGUGAGGGAAAGGCGAAAAGAACCCCGGCGAGGGGAGUGAAAAAGAACCUGAAACCGUGUACGUACAAGCAGUGGGAGCACGCUUAGGCGUGUGACUGCGUACCUUUUGUAUAAUGGGUCAGCGACUUAUAUUCUGUAGCAAGGUUAACCGAAUAGGGGAGCCGAAGGGAAACCGAGUCUUAACUGGGCGUUAAGUUGCAGGGUAUAGACCCGAAACCCGGUGAUCUAGCCAUGGGCAGGUUGAAGGUUGGGUAACACUAACUGGAGGACCGAACCGACUAAUGUUGAAAAAUUAGCGGAUGACUUGUGGCUGGGGGUGAAAGGCCAAUCAAACCGGGAGAUAGCUGGUUCUCCCCGAAAGCUAUUUAGGUAGCGCCUCGUGAAUUCAUCUCCGGGGGUAGAGCACUGUUUCGGCAAGGGGGUCAUCCCGACUUACCAACCCGAUGCAAACUGCGAAUACCGGAGAAUGUUAUCACGGGAGACACACGGCGGGUGCUAACGUCCGUCGUGAAGAGGGAAACAACCCAGACCGCCAGCUAAGGUCCCAAAGUCAUGGUUAAGUGGGAAACGAUGUGGGAAGGCCCAGACAGCCAGGAUGUUGGCUUAGAAGCAGCCAUCAUUUAAAGAAAGCGUAAUAGCUCACUGGUCGAGUCGGCCUGCGCGGAAGAUGUAACGGGGCUAAACCAUGCACCGAAGCUGCGGCAGCGACGCUUAUGCGUUGUUGGGUAGGGGAGCGUUCUGUAAGCCUGUGAAGGUGUGCUGUGAGGCAUGCUGGAGGUAUCAGAAGUGCGAAUGCUGACAUAAGUAACGAUAAAGCGGGUGAAAAGCCCGCUCGCCGGAAGACCAAGGGUUCCUGUCCAACGUUAAUCGGGGCAGGGUGAGUCGACCCCUAAGGCGAGGCCGAAAGGCGUAGUCGAUGGGAAACAGGUUAAUAUUCCUGUACUUGGUGUUACUGCGAAGGGGGGACGGAGAAGGCUAUGUUGGCCGGGCGACGGUUGUCCCGGUUUAAGCGUGUAGGCUGGUUUUCCAGGCAAAUCCGGAAAAUCAAGGCUGAGGCGUGAUGACGAGGCACUACGGUGCUGAAGCAACAAAUGCCCUGCUUCCAGGAAAAGCCUCUAAGCAUCAGGUAACAUCAAAUCGUACCCCAAACCGACACAGGUGGUCAGGUAGAGAAUACCAAGGCGCUUGAGAGAACUCGGGUGAAGGAACUAGGCAAAAUGGUGCCGUAACUUCGGGAGAAGGCACGCUGAUAUGUAGGUGAAGUCCCUUGCGGAUGGAGCUGAAAUCAGUCGAAGAUACCAGCUGGCUGCAACUGUUUAUUAAAAACACAGCACUGUGCAAACACGAAAGUGGACGUAUACGGUGUGACGCCUGCCCGGUGCCGGAAGGUUAAUUGAUGGGGUUAGCGGUAACGCGAAGCUCUUGAUCGAAGCCCCGGUAAACGGCGGCCGUAACUAUAACGGUCCUAAGGUAGCGAAAUUCCUUGUCGGGUAAGUUCCGACCUGCACGAAUGGCGUAAUGAUGGCCAGGCUGUCUCCACCCGAGACUCAGUGAAAUUGAACUCGCUGUGAAGAUGCAGUGUACCCGCGGCAAGACGGAAAGACCCCGUGAACCUUUACUAUAGCUUGACACUGAACAUUGAGCCUUGAUGUGUAGGAUAGGUGGGAGGCUUUGAAGUGUGGACGCCAGUCUGCAUGGAGCCGACCUUGAAAUACCACCCUUUAAUGUUUGAUGUUCUAACGUUGACCCGUGAUCCGGGUUGCGGACAGUGUCUGGUGGGUAGUUUGACUGGGGCGGUCUCCUCCUAAAGAGUAACGGAGGAGCACGAAGGUUGGCUAAUCCUGGUCGGACAUCAGGAGGUUAGUGCAAUGGCAUAAGCCAGCUUGACUGCGAGCGUGACGGCGCGAGCAGGUGCGAAAGCAGGUCAUAGUGAUCCGGUGGUUCUGAAUGGAAGGGCCAUCGCUCAACGGAUAAAAGGUACUCCGGGGAUAACAGGCUGAUACCGCCCAAGAGUUCAUAUCGACGGCGGUGUUUGGCACCUCGAUGUCGGCUCAUCACAUCCUGGGGCUGAAGUAGGUCCCAAGGGUAUGGCUGUUCGCCAUUUAAAGUGGUACGCGAGCUGGGUUUAGAACGUCGUGAGACAGUUCGGUCCCUAUCUGCCGUGGGCGCUGGAGAAUUGAGGGGGGCUGCUCCUAGUACGAGAGGACCGGAGUGGACGCAUCACUGGUGUUCGGGUUGUCAUGCCAAUGGCACUGCCCGGUAGCUAAAUGCGGAAGAGAUAAGUGCUGAAAGCAUCUAAGCACGAAACUUGCCCCGAGAUGAGUUCUCCCUGACUCCUUGAGAGUCCUGAAGGAACGUUGAAGACGACGACGUUGAUAGGCCGGGUGUGUAAGCGCAGCGAUGCGUUGAGCUAACCGGUACUAAUGAACCGUGAGGCUUAACCU
Molecule: ribosomal RNA, 2902 nt
Filed under: Escherichia coli 3-373-03_S1_C1
Lineage: Bacteria; Pseudomonadati; Pseudomonadota; Gammaproteobacteria; Enterobacterales; Enterobacteriaceae
Description: bacterial LSU rRNA
Rfam family: Bacterial large subunit ribosomal RNA
Source: RNAcentral